Molecule: long non-coding RNA, 501 nt
Filed under: Mytilus galloprovincialis (Mediterranean mussel)
Lineage: Eukaryota; Metazoa; Mollusca; Bivalvia; Mytilida; Mytilidae
Source: RNAcentral
GGAAUUUACUGACCCCAUAUAUACCGUAUUAGGUCACUAGCACACUAUGUAACGAAUUUAUCUUACCGACUAUCUUAACUUGUGAAAUUUAGACUAGUGUCCUAUCAAAAUGAGCAAGUCUUCAAUACUGUUAGCAUUAAGAAACUACUUCAUUGAACUUACAAAAACAGAUACCAACAAUAACAACUUGUUAGGUUUAAAUGUGUUUUAUGAAUUUAUUUCAAUGUUAAUCAUCACUUUCUUUGUCUGUUGAAACGUUUACGAUUUUUUCUCAGUACCGUUUUGUUUUUAUAAAGGGACGUAACACCACAACUAACCGUGUAUGAAAUAGGCCCCGCCUCCCUACUACCUUAUAAGGAAUAUUAAGGGGCGUAACUCCACUACUAACCGUGUAUGAGAUAAGCCCCGCCUCCCUACUAACCUAAUAUCAAAUAUACACGGUCUCCACGAGGGCGCUUUUAACCAAUCACAUUCCUAGAAAUGUAUAGGAGGUAAGAUAAA